RNAcentral lists this transfer RNA (69 nucleotides) under Heterocephalus glaber (naked mole-rat). It matches the Rfam family "tRNA". Rfam says of the family: Transfer RNA (tRNA) molecules are approximately 80 nucleotides in length. The record is from Rfam by way of RNAcentral. Lineage: Eukaryota; Metazoa; Chordata; Mammalia; Rodentia; Bathyergidae.
GGGGAUGUAGCUCAGUGGGAGAGUGCCUGCCUAGCAAACAGAAGGCCCUGGGCUCAAUUUCCAGCUCCA